Molecule: ribosomal RNA, 660 nt
Filed under: uncultured bacterium
Lineage: Bacteria
Description: bacterial SSU rRNA
Rfam family: Bacterial small subunit ribosomal RNA
Source: RNAcentral
AGUGGCGGACGGGUGAGUAACGCGUGAGAAUCUGCCUUGGGGUCGGGGACAACCACUGGAAACGGUGGCUAAUACCGGAUAAGCCGAUUGGUGAAAGAUUUAUUGCCCGAAGAGGAGCUCGCGUCUGAUUAGCUAGUUGGUGAGGUAAGAGCUCACCAAGGCAGCGAUCAGUAGCUGGUCUGAGAGGACGAUCAGCCACACUGGGACUGAGACACGGCCCAGACUCCUAUGGGAGGCAGCAGUGGGGAAUUUUCCGCAAUGGGCGAAAGCCUGACGGAGCAAGACCGCGUGAGGGAGGAAGGCUCUUGGGUUGUAAACCUCUUUUCUCAGGGAAGAAGCUCUGACGGUACCUGAGGAAUCAGCCUCGGCUAACUCCGUGCCAGCAGCCGCGGUAAUACGGAGGAGGCAAGCGUUAUCCGGAAUUAUUGGGCGUAAAGCGUCCGCAGGUGGCGAUUCAAGUCUGCUGUCAAAGCACGGGGCUUAACUCCGUAAAGGCAGUGGAAACUGAAUAGCUAGAGUGCCGUAGGGGUAGAGGGAAUUCCCGGUGUAGCGGUGAAAUGCGUAGAGAUCGGGAAGAACAUCGGUGGCGAAAGCGCUCUACUGGACGGCAACUGACACUCAGGGACGAAAGCUAGGGGAGCGAAUGGGAUUAGAUACCCC